GGGUUGUGAGGUUAAGCGACUAAGCGUACACGGUGGAUGCCCUGGCAGUCAGAGGCGAUGAAGGACGUGCUAAUCUGCGAUAAGCGCCGGUAAGGUGAUAUGAACCGUUAUAACCGGCGAUUUCCGAAUGGGGAAACCCAGUGUGAUUCGUCACACUAUCAUUAACUGAAUCCAUAGGUUAAUGAGGCGAACCGGGGGAACUGAAA
Molecule: ribosomal RNA, 206 nt
Filed under: Salmonella enterica subsp. enterica serovar Derby
Lineage: Bacteria; Pseudomonadati; Pseudomonadota; Gammaproteobacteria; Enterobacterales; Enterobacteriaceae
Also listed under: 4 other names
Description: partial 23S ribosomal RNA
Rfam family: Bacterial large subunit ribosomal RNA
Source: RNAcentral